GGGUGAGGUAAGGUAAGGUAGGGAACGAGCGAGGUGAGGCGGGUUCCUAAAAUAAAUGUCAAGAUGUAUAUAAAGACGCCGUUAAGAUGUAUUGGUAAAUAAGGCAGCAACCAUCUAAUUAACCUCUGGAAAAUGUUAAAACCUUUGGCUUGCCUGAAGAUUCCUCCCCCAGCUUAUUUCAGCUGAAGAUCAAUUUAACCUGAGCCAAUCUCCGUAUUACAAUGUGCUGGUGAAUCUGUCAUUCUUUUUUCAGAUCAAGGAAUGACUACAGCUCCAACUGCAGUACAAAACCAUGUUAUUGGUGUGGUGGAGUAUGAGGUUAGUGUGGUGCAGUAUGAGGUGCAGUGGUGCAGUAUGUGGGGACAACAGACCACGAGUGUGAAGUGAAUCUUCUCACACUACACAACAGUAUUCCUCGAGGUGGCAGCUGAUGUACGUGAAGGCCAAUGGAGAAGUGACAGAACCUUGAGCAAGAUUUAACACCCAUCAUGUUACUUCAGCCUCAUCAGUGACAGAUGAUGUACUUGAAGGCCAACAUAGAGGAAGUGACAGAACCAAUCUAGAGCAAGAGAUAACACACACCUGUUAAUUCAGCCUCCCCAGUUAAGUUACCUUUGUCUUCGUAUGGCUACCCUAAAAACCACUGAAUGUAGGAAUGAAAUUGAGUGACUUGCUUUGUGAGAAGGGUUGGGAAGCAGGAACGCUGGGCAGUGGAGGGAGACGCUCGUACGCUGGGCAGUGGAGGGGGCGCUCGUACGCUGGGCAGUGGAGGGGGCGCUCGUACGCUGGGCAGUGGAGGGGGCGCUCG
Molecule: long non-coding RNA, 808 nt
Organism: Homarus americanus (American lobster)
Lineage: Eukaryota; Metazoa; Arthropoda; Malacostraca; Decapoda; Nephropidae
Exons: 3
Source: RefSeq, a predicted model, not a curated record